RNAcentral lists this unclassified non-coding RNA (1501 nucleotides) under Hevea brasiliensis (rubber tree). Lineage: Eukaryota; Viridiplantae; Streptophyta; Magnoliopsida; Malpighiales; Euphorbiaceae. The record is from RNAcentral.
AAGUAUCAGGCAGGUUAUAAUAUAGGGAAUUAAAGCCACGAUUUUUCUCUAAUAUAUUUGAUUUAGCAUCUAUUAAUAUUAAUUCAUGGCUAUUAGAAGUUUUCUUUAUUAUUUUCUUGUAUUUUUAUUUUGGCAUUUGAAUGAAUUAAGUGUUUAUGGAGCGAGAGAGGUGAUAAAUCAUCCCAAUGCUUCUCCAUCGCCUGUUUCCAAGUGCUCUGCUUCCCCUCAUGGAUUUGCAGGUGGAUCUCAGAGCUUAAGGGUAACCUACAAGGGUGGUCACUGCUCACCCCUUGGGAAUUCUAGCCAAAUUCUCAUCCUAGACCAAUCCAGAGUCGACUCUAUCAAUUACCUUAACUCGAAGACUUAUGCCACAUCUGAUCUUAAGGCAACACACCUGGAUUCCUCCAUUAAAGGCAGCCCAUUAGAUGCUGGCGUUUUCUUUGUUCAAGUUGGUUUUGGCACCCCACAGCAAAACUUCGACUUGUUGCUUGACACUGGAAGUGAUGUUACCUGGGUACAAAGCAAGCCAUGUUCAACGUGCAAAAAGAUCUUCAAUCCGUCUGCCUCUUCUACCUUUUCCAAUCACUCUUGCAUAAUUCCUUCUGGAGAAUCUAAUUACAUAAUAAAAUAUCGAGACCAUUCUUAUUCUAAGGGAUACUAUGGCUGUGACACCAUUACCAUGUCUCCCACUCAAGUGUACCCUAACUUUCGUUUUGGUUGUGGCCAAAAUCCCAACAAACAAUUCAGUGGUGCAUCUGGGGUUUUAGGUCUGACCUCAGAUGGUGAUGCAAUGAAAAGGUUUGGGAAAAUCUUUUGUUACUGCCUGCCAACCAAAGAACCCUCUUAUGGUUAUCUUCACUUUGAACGAGACGCACAGAGCAAAUGCAGAACUGACAAGUCUAUACGUCUUUUGGCUAAAAGAUACUACUUUGUCAAUCUUAUUGGUAUAAGUGUAGGCCAUAUAAGAUUGGAGAUUUCUUCAAGCUUUCCUUCACAUCCAAGCACUAUAAUAGACUCCGGAACUGUCAUCACUCGGCUUCCUUCAUCGAUCUAUACUCAGCUUAGCUCUGCAUUUAAUAAAUUCAUGUCACAUUACCCUCCAGCAAAAGCAGUUGAAACUUUGGACACAUGCUACAACCUUGAGGGAUACAAAAACCCAACAAUACCCCAGGUGGUACUGCAUUUUGAAAAUUCAAAUGACAUAAAAUUGGACACAGACACAGUUCUUUAUAAAGGUGAUAUAGGUACUGUUUUUUGCUUGGCAUUUGCUGCAAAGGAAAAGCAAAGUGACCUCAAUAUUAUCGGCAGUCAUCAACAAAGAAAGCUGAACAUUUUGUAUGAUCUCCAAAAUGGAAAAUUAGGAUUUGGGAUGGGUAAUUGUAACCAUUAAUUGGUGACAAUAUCUAGAUGCAAAAUCAGAAUGUUUACUUCUUAAAUUAAAUGUAUCAAUUUUCUUCUAAUUUUCAUAAUCAAUAGGAGGAUUAUAAUUAUUAUCAAAAAA